UGAAUACCCGCUUCACUACGGAUCGUCGGGCACGUACCUGCCCGUGAAGGGAAACAACA
Arthrobacter crystallopoietes BAB-32 is the source of this 59-nucleotide regulatory RNA element. It matches the Rfam family "msiK RNA". The record is from Rfam. NCBI's taxonomy places the organism in Bacteria, Bacillati, Actinomycetota, Actinomycetes, Micrococcales, Micrococcaceae.